RNAcentral lists this unclassified non-coding RNA (491 nucleotides) under Hevea brasiliensis (rubber tree). Lineage: Eukaryota; Viridiplantae; Streptophyta; Magnoliopsida; Malpighiales; Euphorbiaceae. The record is from RNAcentral.
AAAGAGAGAGAGAGAGAAGCCAAACUUAAGGUGUCCCUAAAUUAUCUCACCCAUUGAACCAAAGACCACGACUCAAAAUUCAUCAAAAAAAUUUCCAUCUAAACUAGAUUAAAUGAAAAGAAAAUAAAAAGAUGCACACUUCAAAACCAAUGAUCAAUGAAUUAAUAAAUUCAAAUCUAAAGUAUCUAAAGAAAAUGAAAAUCCCAAACAAAAUACAUAUUAACACAAGAAUAAAUUUUCUUAAUUCUUCCUACAUUAUUCCAGGAACCCAAAAAAUUCAACUGAUAACUUCGAAAUAAAAAAUAAAAACGCACGCUCGUCAAAAAAAAAAAAAGCCAUCCUACAUUUCAAGUGACUAAAAAGUAACAACUAGUGUUUUUAGCCUCGAUCAUUUAACAUUCUCAGCUUAUUCCAACAUUUUCUCACCGGCACUUCAACAGUUCAAAGUUGAAGCCGCCUAACAAUAAUAAAUUCCAUUCCCUUCCUUUCGU